Molecule: small nucleolar RNA, 66 nt
Organism: Acipenser ruthenus (sterlet)
Lineage: Eukaryota; Metazoa; Chordata; Actinopteri; Acipenseriformes; Acipenseridae
Product: small nucleolar RNA SNORD42
Exons: 1
Source: RefSeq, a predicted model, not a curated record
GUGCAAUUGAUGGAAACUUUUAAUGUCUGAUUCAGUUUGAUGUUUUCAAAGGAACCACUGAUGCAC